UACGGAAGGUGCAAGCGUUGCUCGGAAUCACUGGGCGUAAAGGGUGCGUAGGCGGCCGCGCAAGUCUGGCGUGAAAGCCCCGGGCUCAGCCCGGGAAGGGCGCUCGAAACGGCGCGGCUCGAGUGCCGGAGGGGAGAGUGGAAUUCCUGGUGUAGCGGUGAAAUGCGUAGAUAUCGAGAGGAACACCUGCGGCGAAGGCGGGUUGCUGGGCUGAUACUGACGCUGAGGCGCGAAAGCCAGGGGAGCGAACGGG
Molecule: ribosomal RNA, 253 nt
Filed under: uncultured bacterium
Lineage: Bacteria
Description: partial 16S ribosomal RNA
Rfam family: Bacterial small subunit ribosomal RNA
Source: RNAcentral